Molecule: ribosomal RNA, 510 nt
Filed under: Omocrates sp. 1 DA-2011
Lineage: Eukaryota; Metazoa; Arthropoda; Insecta; Coleoptera; Scarabaeidae
Description: partial 16S large subunit ribosomal RNA
Rfam family: Bacterial large subunit ribosomal RNA
Source: RNAcentral
UUUAAAGUCUAACCUGCCCAAUGAAAAAUUAAAUGGCUGCGGUAAUUUGACCGUGCAAAGGUAGCAUAAUCAUUAGUUUUUUAAUUAAAAGCUGGAAUGAAUGGUUGAACGAGAAAAAUACUGUCUCAAUUUAAAUUAAUUAGAAUUUUAUUUUUAAGUUAAAAAGCUUAGAUGGAAUUAAAAGACGAGAAGACCCUAUAGAGUUUAAUAUAUAAAUAUUAUGUUUAAAUUAAUUAAUUAUUUAUUUAAUGUUUGUGUAUUUUGUUGGGGUGAUAGAAAAAUUUAAUGAACUUUUUUUUUAUAUUAACAUUGAUUUAUGAAUAAAUGAUCCAUUAUUAAUGAUUAUAAGAUUAAAUUACCUUAGGGAUAACAGCGUAAUUUUUUUAAGAGUUCUUAUCGAAAGAAGAGUUUGCGACCUCGAUGUUGGAUUAAAAUAAACUUUUGGCGCAGAAGCUAGAAAGUUAGGUCUGUUCGACCUUUAAAAUUUUACAUGAUCUGAGUUCAAACCGG